RNAcentral lists this small RNA (28 nucleotides) under Bombyx mori (domestic silkworm). RNAcentral's name for it is "ovarian small RNA-29395". The record is from RNAcentral. Lineage: Eukaryota; Metazoa; Arthropoda; Insecta; Lepidoptera; Bombycidae.
UCUAAAGAAUUAAGAAAUUCUACAGGGU